UGGGGCGUCGGCAAGUGGUAAGCCAACAGGUUUUGGUCCUGUCAUUCCAAGGUUCGAAUCCUUGCGCCCCAUCCA
RNAcentral lists this transfer RNA (75 nucleotides) under Bdellovibrionales bacterium. Its description in RNAcentral is "tRNA-Gln". It matches the Rfam family "tRNA". From Rfam's summary of the family: Transfer RNA (tRNA) molecules are approximately 80 nucleotides in length. Their secondary structure includes four short double-helical elements and three loops (D, anti-codon, and T loops). Further hydrogen bonds mediate the characteristic L-shaped molecular structure. tRNAs have two regions of fundamental functional importance: the anti-codon, which is responsible for specific mRNA codon recognition, and the 3' end, to which the tRNAs corresponding amino acid is attached (by aminoacyl-tRNA synthetases). tRNAs cope with the degeneracy of the genetic code in two manners: having more than one tRNA (with a specific anti-codon) for a particular amino acid; and 'wobble' base-pairing, i.e. permitting non-standard base-pairing at the 3rd anti-codon position. Lineage: Bacteria; Pseudomonadati; Bdellovibrionota; Bdellovibrionia; Bdellovibrionales. The record is from RNAcentral.